Molecule: transfer RNA, 73 nt
Filed under: Scurrula chingii
Lineage: Eukaryota; Viridiplantae; Streptophyta; Magnoliopsida; Santalales; Loranthaceae
Also listed under: 13 other names
Description: tRNA-Asn
Rfam family: tRNA
About the family: Transfer RNA (tRNA) molecules are approximately 80 nucleotides in length.
Source: RNAcentral
UCCUCAGUAGCUCAGCGGUAGAGCGGUCGGCUGUUAACUGACUGGUCGUAGGUUCGAAUCCUACUUGGGGAGA